CCUACGGGAGGCAGCAGUGAGGAAUAUUGGUCAAUGGGCGUAAGCCUGAACCAGCCAAGUCGCGUGAGGGAUGAAGGUUCUAUGGAUCGUAAACCUCUUUUAUAGGGGAAUAAAGUGUGGGACGUGUCCUGUUUUGUAUGUACCUUAUGAAUACAGAUCGGCUAACUCCGUGCCAGCAGCCGCGGUAAUACGGAGGAUCCGAGCGUUAUCCGGAUUUAUUGGGGUUAAAGGGUGCGUAGGCGGCCUUUUAAGUCAGCGGUGAAAGGUUGUGGCUCAACCAUCGAAUUGCCGUUGAACCUGGGAGGCUGGAGUAUGUGUGAGGCAGGCGGAAGGCGUGGUGUAGCGGUGAAAUGCUUAGAUAUCACGCAGAACCCCGAUUGCGAAGGCAGCCUGCCAAGCCAUGACUGACGCUGAUGCACGAAAGCGUGGGGAGCAAACAGGAUUAGAUACCCCAGUAGUC
This 460-nucleotide ribosomal RNA is filed under the name uncultured bacterium. RNAcentral describes it as "partial 16S ribosomal RNA". It matches the Rfam family "Bacterial small subunit ribosomal RNA", at positions 338 to 795 of the family's 1533-position model. The record is from RNAcentral.